RNAcentral lists this ribosomal RNA (200 nucleotides) under uncultured bacterium. RNAcentral's name for it is "partial 16S ribosomal RNA". It matches the Rfam family "Bacterial small subunit ribosomal RNA", at positions 8 to 214 of the family's 1533-position model. The record is from RNAcentral.
AGAGUUUGAUCAUGGCUCAGGACGAACGCUUGCGGCGUGCCUAAGAAAUGCAAGUCGAGCGGGGAGCUUCGGCUCCUAGCGGCGAACGGUCGCGUAACACGUAAGCAACCUGCCCCGAAGACCGGGACAACAGCUCGAAAGGGCUGCUAAUACCGGAUGUGGCUCUCUCUGGGCAUCCAGAGGGAACUAAAGCGAGCAAU